CAAAUUAUGGGUGAAAUGUCCCAACUGCCGGAAGGUGAAAGUGUUCUGUGAUGUAAAAUUUAGGUCACACUCUAUAAAGCUUCUCCUUAUUCUAUGUGUGAACAGCUAGUCUGUAUCUUCACCUAUGCAUAUUUAAAAAUCAACCUUACGAAGGCUCUUGGCCACCAUAAUCCUUCCUACCCUGUAGCAAGAGCCCAGCCUCAGACUAUGUUUCCUUCUGCCUCCGAGUGCAAUGCCUUCCCCCGAGUCUCCAAGGUACCAAACCGGUCAGGGGCAGCUGAGACAGCUCUACUUGUACGAGUCCUCCCCAAGCCCUUGAAAUCACAGGCAUCUCUGCUGUCCCUGCCCUUUAUCCACAUCACUGAACAAUUAAGCACACACAUCUGUGUAGUUUUAUUUAAACUGUUCCAUGUGUGUUUGUUUACAAUUAACAACAUGAAUGACUGCAGUAUGGAUGCAGCAGAAAGGAAUGCUGAGGGAGGACUCCAGUUGGAAUGAGCCACUUUUCCAGGACUAGGAAUGAACUUUCCCCAGUACCAACAAGGCAGCCUCCAGGGCAAGAAAUGGUAACAGAAUCCAUCCUGUUGACAGUCAAGAUGGAAUUACAGAGAAUUCUCACCUCUUUUUUGACUCUCAGGUGGAAACCCCCUUCCCAUGGGGUGAAGCGCAGUCUGCUCCAGAGACCCACUGUUAGGGUCGGGGAUGUCACAGAAAUUAACAGGGCAGCCAAUUCCCAUCCAGAGGGGCCCAGGAUGACCCCGAACCCUCUAGCUCAGCCCCAAGCUCGGGCCAGGGAGUGAAGCCUUUGUCCCCAAGCAACAGAGUGAGGGUCUGUCUCUAACCCGGUGGGCUCCAGUGAAAGGAAAAUGGCCUGGAGGUGCCCACAGGAGGGCGCCCUAGUUCUGAGACAGGUCUACGGCUCCCAGACUGCGUCCCCAUGAGUAACAGAGGGACACGCAGAGGGGCAUACUGAGUGCCUAUAGGGGACUCACAGACUGCAGAUGCACGCUGCGGAUCCAGAAGCCGGUCAGGUAAUGAGGUGCAGAGGUGUGGGGAAGACCUGGGUGCUUCCCUGGGUGCCAACCAGCCUAACCCGCCGGGGCCACCAAACAGAAGUGCUUCUGACAUUAACGCGACACACAGAAGGUGUGUAGGGUGGGUAGUGGAAGUGACCGCAGAGGCCUCUGGGGAUUGUAGUUUUGGAGCUAGAGAGGCGGGCAAGCAGUUGGCUUCGCCCACACGGUGUGCCUCUCACAUCUGCACAGCGCACACAACCAAGCUUAGGAGCCGACUGUUAAGAUGCCCCAGUGACACGGACAAGUUUCUCCUCUGCAACCCAAUGAGAGCUGCUGACCACGAGAGCAUCGCGGGACCGCCAAAGGAUUCUGGAAAAUGUGGUCCCGGGUGGCCAGUGUGCGCUGACCUUCACCUGAAGGUGAGCUGAGCUCACCAUGCAAGUCUCCACCCUGGGGUGCCCUUCCCCAAGCAGAUGCCAGGUUGGGGCAGAAGCAGUUCAGGGAGAAGCGAUGCGCUCCUGGGACUGCCGGUUUGGGGGGCAACAUCGGCCCUGUGUCCCCUAGAGUAGGAGGGUGUACCAGGAUGGGGAACCCCAAGGCCGUUUUCAGGGAGAACAAGAUUGGCUUGAGGCAAACUCCCGGAAUGGAGAUGGGGAGAGUCUGGUCGCAUUUCCCCAGGAGUUUAGGGGAUGAAGGCUGGACUUGGGUGAACAGCAAAAGAUCCCCUGGUGAUAGUGGUGGUGAGGAUCAGAGGCUUGAGCCAGAAAUUCCCGAGGUGUUUGUUUGUUUUGUUUUUUUUGAGACAGAGUCUUGAUCUGUCUCCCAGGAUGUAGUGCAAUGGCAUGCUCUUGGCUCAUUGCAACCUCCGCCUCCCAGGUUCAAGCGAUUCUCCUGCCUCAGCCUCCCAAGUAGCUGAGAUUAUAGGCACCUGCCACUGUGCCCACCUAAAUUUUUUUUGUUUUUUUGUAUUUUUAGUAGAGACGAUGUUUCACCACAUUGCCCAGCCUGGUCUCGAACUCCUGACCUCAAGUGAUCCACCUGCCUCGGCCUCCCAAAGUGCUGGGAUUACAGGCAUGAGCCCCCACACCCAGCUCAUUUUUAUCUUUUAACUUAAAGGUUUUUAUUUUUCUCUAUUUUUACUCUUACAGGUACGGCUUGAAGGAAACUUCUGGAGGGUGGGGUGGUGUUGAAGAGAAGGCACAAUUGUCACCAUUUUGUUCAACAUGGGCGUUUUCUUUGUGCAUUGAUUUGCAUUUUUAAAGGUAUUCCAUUAAAAAUAUGUUUAUCUA
Long non-coding RNA from Homo sapiens (human), 2305 nucleotides. NCBI's taxonomy places the organism in Eukaryota, Metazoa, Chordata, Mammalia, Primates, Hominidae. The record is from Ensembl.